GAUGAAGAACGUAGCGAAAUGCGAUAAGUAAUGUGAAUUGCAGAGUUCAGUGAAUCAUCGAAUCUUUGAACGCACAUUGCGCCCGCCAGUAUUCUGGCGGGCAUGCCUGUUCGAGCGUCAUUUCAACCCUCAAGCCCCCGGGCUUGGUGUUGGGGAUCGGCGUGCCCUCGCGGCGCGCCGUCCCCUAAAUCUAGUGGCGGUCUCGCUGUAGCUUCCUCUGCGUAGUAGCAACACUCGCACUGGAUCGCAGCGCGGCCACGCCGUUAAACCCCCCACUUCUGAAAGUUUGACCUCGGAUCAGGUAGGAAUACCCGCUGAACUUAAGCAUAUCAAUAAGCGGAGGA
This 344-nucleotide unclassified non-coding RNA is filed under the name soil metagenome. RNAcentral describes it as "partial contains 5.8S ribosomal RNA, internal transcribed spacer 2, and large subunit ribosomal RNA". The stretch from base 1 to 120 matches the Rfam family "5.8S ribosomal RNA", at positions 35 to 154 of the family's 154-position model. The record is from RNAcentral.